UUUGUUUGGAGAGUUUGAUCCUGGCUCAGGACGAACGCUGGCGGCGUGCUUAACACAUGCAAGUCGAACGGUGAAGGGGCCUGCUUUUGUGGGUCCUGGAUGAGUGGCGAACGGGUGAGUAACACGUGAGUAACCUGCCCCCUUCUUCUGGAUAACCGCAUGAAAGUGUGGCUAAUACGGGAUAUUCUGGGUCUGUCGCAUGAUGGGUCUGGGAAAGAUUGCGCUUUUGGGUGUUUUUGGUGGGGGAUGGGCUCGCGGCC
This 260-nucleotide ribosomal RNA is filed under the name Actinomyces oris. RNAcentral's name for it is "partial 16S ribosomal RNA". It matches the Rfam family "Bacterial small subunit ribosomal RNA", at positions 1 to 238 of the family's 1533-position model. The record is from RNAcentral. Lineage: Bacteria; Bacillati; Actinomycetota; Actinomycetes; Actinomycetales; Actinomycetaceae.